GAGUUUGAUCGUGGCUCAGGAUAAACGCUGGCGGCGUGCAUGAGACAUGCAAGUCGAACGGACGAUCAGGGCUUGCUCUGAUCGUUAGUGGCGGACGGCUGAGUAACGCGUAGGUGACCUGCCCCGAAGUGGGGGAUAACUGCCCGAAAGGGUGGCUAAUACCGCAUGUGGUGGUUCGUUCAUUCGAACCACCAAAGCAGCAAUGCGCUUCGGGAGGGGCCUGCGUCCGAUUAGCUCGUUGGUGGGGUAACGGCUCACCAAGGCGACGAUCGGUAGGUGGUCUGAGAGGACGAUCACCCCAGACUGGGACUGAGACACGGCCCAGACUCCUACGGGAGGCAGCAGUCGGGAAUUUUGCGCAAUGGACGAAAGUCUGACGCAGCAACGCCGCGUGAGGGAUGAAGGCCUUC
Molecule: ribosomal RNA, 410 nt
Filed under: uncultured bacterium
Lineage: Bacteria
Description: bacterial SSU rRNA
Rfam family: Bacterial small subunit ribosomal RNA
Source: RNAcentral